CGCCUGCCCUGUGACAAAGGUUCAACGGCCGCGGUAUUUUGACCGUGCAAAGGUAGCGCAAUCACUUGUCCUUUAAAUGAAGACCUGUAUGAAUGGCAUCACGAGGGCUUAGCUGUCUCCUUUUUCCAGUCAAUGAAAUUGAUCCCCCCGUGCAGAAGCGGGGAUAAGACCAUAAGACGAGAAGACCCUAUGAAGCUUUAGACACAAGACAGGCCUUGUUAAACACUUCAAAAUAAAGAAAUAAACUAAAAGAAUGCUGUUCCGAUGUCUUUGGUUGGGGCGACCACGGGGAAACAAAAAACCCCCAUGCGGACUGAGAAAACAAUUCUCACAACCAAGAGCCGCAGCUCUAAUUAACAGAACUUCUGACCUUUAGAUCCGGCAAUGCCGAUCCACGGACCGAGUUACUCUAGGGAUAACAGCGCAAUCCCCUUUUAGAGCUCCUAUCGACAAGGGGGUUUACGACCUCGAUGUUGGAUCAGGACGUCCUAAUGGUGCAGCAGUUAUUAAGGGUUCGUUUGUUCAACGAUUAAAGUCCU
RNAcentral lists this ribosomal RNA (539 nucleotides) under Betta brownorum. Its description in RNAcentral is "partial 16S ribosomal RNA". It matches the Rfam family "Bacterial large subunit ribosomal RNA", at positions 1856 to 2597 of the family's 2925-position model. Lineage: Eukaryota; Metazoa; Chordata; Actinopteri; Anabantiformes; Osphronemidae. The record is from RNAcentral.